This 578-nucleotide ribosomal RNA is filed under the name uncultured bacterium. RNAcentral's name for it is "bacterial SSU rRNA". It matches the Rfam family "Bacterial small subunit ribosomal RNA", at positions 102 to 694 of the family's 1533-position model. The record is from RNAcentral.
ACGGGUGAGUAACACGUGAGUAACCUGCCCUUGACUCUGGGAUAAGCGUUGGAAACGACGUCUAAUACCGGAUACGAGCUCCGAUCGCAUGAUCAGGAGCUGGAAAGAAUUUCGGUCAAGGAUGGACUCGCGGCCUAUCAGCUAGUUGGUGAGGUAAUGGCCCACCAAGGCGACGACGGGUAGCCGGCCUGAGAGGGUGACCGGCCACACUGGGACUGAGACACGGCCCAGACUCCUACGGGAGGCAGCAGUGGGGAAUAUUGCACAAUGGGCGCAAGCCUGAUGCAGCAACGCCGCGUGAGGGACGACGGCCUUCGGGUUGUAAACCUCUUUUAGUAGGGAAGAAGCGAAAGUGACGGUACCUGCAGAAAAAGCACCGGCUAACUACGUGCCAGCAGCCGCGGUAAUACGUAGGGUGCAAGCGUUAUCCGGAAUUAUUGGGCGUAAAGAGCUCGUAGGCGGUUUGUCGCGUCUGCUGUGAAAACUGGAGGCUCAACCUCCAGCCUGCAGUGGGUACGGGCAGACUAGAGUGCGGUAGGGGAGAUUGGAAUUCCUGGUGUAGCGGUGGAAUGCGCAGA